GAAGCAAAAGAGUUCAGGGGAAUCCAGCAGAAGACAAGAUCAGAGAUGUGCAAAGCAGGGGACAGAUCAUGAUAGCUUCUCGUUACAGUUUGGGUUU
Non-coding RNA from Vicugna pacos (alpaca), 97 nucleotides. NCBI's taxonomy places the organism in Eukaryota, Metazoa, Chordata, Mammalia, Artiodactyla, Camelidae. The record is from RefSeq and is a predicted model, not a curated record.